AUAAUACUUUGAUUAAUUUGGUUCUGGUUUUUGUAGUUAGGUAGGCUGAGAUUUACACAUGUUAACUUUUUAGUAUUCCGGUGAAGACCCACUCUUUUUAGAUUGUUGUUUUAAUAUGCUUUCUUUUUAGUGCUGGAUAAGUUAAUUAAAAAGUAGGCUAAGAAAAUAUUUAUUAAAUAGCGUCACACCUGCAGUGAUGGGUCUCUUAACAAUAACUGGAAGGUUGAUUAGAUCAAGUGUGAGAAAAGAUUGGCUAAAUAUCGUGCCAGCAGCCGCGGUUAUACGAAUUGAUCUUCUUAACACAUUAGGUGGCUUAUUACAAGAAUACAGCUAGGGGAAUAUUUGUAAAAGUCUUGGAGGAAAGGUGAAAUUUUAGUUCAAGACGAAGAAGUAUAUAUGUAGGGAUUGUGAAAGUUUUGAAGGAAACCCGGAUUAGAUACCCGGUUAUUCUUUAGUGUUAAAGGUAAUUGCCGGUGGAGUAUGGAGUGGUCUCUGAGAAACAAAGAACUUGGCGGUUAUUUAUUUCUUACUAGGGGAACCUGCUUGAAGAAAAUGAUAAUCCUCAAGGUACCUGACCUCUUUUAGAUAAGUUCAGCCUCUAUAUCAUCGUCUCUAAGCUCUCACUGUGAAUUUGAAGGCUAUAAAGCUGGUGAGAAGGCUAUAAGUCAGAUCUAGAUGGAGCUAAUAAGGAGGGGAGAGUGGGUUACAGUGGUAGUUUAACCAAAUUGAGUUUGAAUUUUGUUUUGAAAAAGAUAAAGGAAAAUGGACUUAGUAGUAAUAAGAGAGUAGUUAGAUCUUGUGAAAUUAGCUCUGAAUUUCGUACACAUCGCCCGUCACCUGCGGGGUUAAACCUGGAGAAAGUCGUAACAUAGUAGGCGUACCGGAAGGUGCGGCCUGGAA
Molecule: ribosomal RNA, 900 nt
Filed under: Ophioplocus japonicus
Lineage: Eukaryota; Metazoa; Echinodermata; Ophiuroidea; Amphilepidida; Ophiolepididae
Description: 12S ribosomal RNA
Rfam family: Microsporidia small subunit ribosomal RNA (bases 186-900)
Source: RNAcentral